CCCUUAGAUGUUCUGGGCCGCACGCGCGCUACACUGAUGCAUUCAACAAGCCUAGCCUUGACCGAGAGGUCCGGGUAAUCUUUGAAACUGCAUCGUGAUGGGGCUAGAUUAUUGCAAUUAUUAAUCUUCAACGAGGAAUGCCUAGUAAGCGUGAUUUAUCAAAUCGCGUUGAUUACGUCCCUGCCCUUUGUACACACCGCCCGUCGCUCCUACCGAUUGAAUGUGUUGGUGAGGAGCUCGGAUUGGCAGCAGUUGGUGGUUCGCCACCGGCUAUUGCUGAGAAGUCCUCCAAACCGCCCCAUUUAGAGGAAGGAGAAGUCGUAACA
This 326-nucleotide ribosomal RNA is filed under the name uncultured eukaryote. RNAcentral's name for it is "partial 18S ribosomal RNA". It matches the Rfam family "Eukaryotic small subunit ribosomal RNA", at positions 1470 to 1796 of the family's 1831-position model. The record is from RNAcentral.